UCGUUUUGCUCUCUCUCUCUCUCUCUCUCUCUCUCUCUCAAUACCAACAGAAGAAAACGAAAAGACGAAAGCAAUAAUCGAUUUAUCAAAAUCCAAUCGAAGUUUUGAUCGGUUUCGAGAAAAAAUGGAUCUCUCCAAGUCGUCUUUUUCUUCUCCGAGUCCGCUUACUUCUUCUUUGUUAGGUCAGAAAUUUUUUGGUGACACAAUCGUCGCGCCGCAGCUUCGUCUCCAACCAGAGGUCGGAUAAGAUCCCAUAGUGAGUCUCACUCAAAAUUAUGUAUCCAAUUUUGUAAUUUUCAGAGGUUCUAGGAUUAAAUCGUUAACGAAGCUUCUUCUAAUUCUCUAUUGUUGUGCACAUUGGAGAUAAUAUUAUUUGUUUCUGUUUUUUUUUUUUUAUCAACAGUGGAACAAUAAUUGUGUUUCGUUUUUGCAGUAUGUGUUUGAAAGGUUUGAAGCUAAGUAUAUUGAGGUCUUUUUCUGUAUAAGGUAUAUAUAGGUCUGAAACUUGGCAAUGUAAAGAAGAAACAAUGAGCUCCAAUGGUGGUGGCGACGACUAUAGCACCAAAAGUAUUAUAAUACAUUACCAACUAUUUUGACCAUUGCUUGGUGUUUAUGUUGUUAUAGAUUGGUGCUUGCUUUGCUCGCCAUUGCUUGUGGAACUCGACGAGUGUCUUGGUUCCUUCUGCGGAGUUUUCUAGCUUAUCUAGCAAACCCAAUGAUUUUCUUCUUUCCUCUACUCGAAAGUUUAUUGAUUUUGUUGCUUACAUACACCUUUUGGGCUAUGAGGCUAAUUUCAUGCUUUCUGUGGUCUGUGGAAUGGGUCUUUCUUAAUUAUCUCACUGGGCGUUUUGCUUUACUCUUAUGUUUAACUGAGUUUAGUGGAGAAAUAUUCAUAAAAGGCUAUUAUUGAUGUUCAUAAAAUGCAUUCAUAAAAGGCUAGUUUUUGUUAAUUCUUGUUUGAUGUUCUUUUGUUAGGUUCUGAGUCAGCUGCUGGUAAAGAAACUGGUGCUCUUGAGUCCCAAACUGCUGCCGUACUAAUAACCGUGGCGAUGGUUUGCUUACGGCUGUUCAUAAGGAUUAUUUUAGAGUUGUGAGCUCGAGGGAUUUGCUUUUUAACGAUUGUGGUGACAAAGUUGCGCAGUUGCUACAUGUAGAAUUAGUUCCUCCGUACUCUCAGUACGAUGCUCAUCAACAAGUUUUGAUUGUCAAUACUCAUUUGCUGUUUCCUCAUGAUUCUACUUUGUCUGUAGUAAGACUGCAACAGGUUUAUAAGAUUCUUCAGUAUGUAGUGUCACAGUCUUUAAAACACUGUGAAUACAUAAUUGGGCAUUAGGUUGAGAGAUUUGGCCGAGACUAUGAUUGAUUUAUGACAUUGACAUUCUUCUCCUCAAGCUGGUUCUUGGUGUUGUGGAACUUGGUCUUCGUGUCCUGUCUCUUGCUUCAUCGUCUUCGCGUUUUAUCUGGAUUUCUUCACCUUUUUCCAACGCAAUCCCCAGUUUUGUGUCAUGUCUCUUGCUUCUUCUUUUAAGUAUCUUGAUUUCAUCAUCUCUACAACCUGCAGAAUUUUUUCCUUUGCCUCCAACUGCUCGUCUUUACGUGCGGUGCAUGAUAUUAGUUUUGUGCCGCUUGCACUGAUCGAGUCAGUAAAGGGAAACUUAGCUUAAAGAAUAUAUAUUUUUUAUUUAAAUGUUCUAAAAGGUCCUUAAUAUAGAUUUACGUUGUUAAUGAUCUGAAUGGACUUAUCUA
Non-coding RNA from Camelina sativa (false flax), 1746 nucleotides. The record is from RefSeq and is a predicted model, not a curated record. NCBI's taxonomy places the organism in Eukaryota, Viridiplantae, Streptophyta, Magnoliopsida, Brassicales, Brassicaceae.